UACGGGGGGGGCAAGCGUUGUCCGGAAUUAUUGGGCGUAAAGGGCGCGUAGGCGGAAUAGUAAGUCAGAGGUGAAAUUCUUGCGCUUAACGCAGGAACUGCCUUUGAUACUGCUGUUCUUGAGUAUGGAAGAGGGAAGUGGAAUUCCCGGUGUAGCGGUGAAAUGCGUAGAUAUCGGGAAGAACACCGGUAGCGUAAGCGGCUUCCUGGUCCAUUACUGACGCUGAGGCGCGAAAGUGUGGGGAGCAAACAGG
Molecule: ribosomal RNA, 253 nt
Filed under: uncultured bacterium
Lineage: Bacteria
Description: partial 16S ribosomal RNA
Rfam family: Bacterial small subunit ribosomal RNA
Source: RNAcentral